RNAcentral lists this ribosomal RNA (1403 nucleotides) under uncultured bacterium. RNAcentral describes it as "bacterial SSU rRNA". It matches the Rfam family "Bacterial small subunit ribosomal RNA". The record is from RNAcentral.
AGAGUUUGAUCCUGGCUCAGGAUGAACGCUAGCGACAGGCUUAACACAUGCAAGUCGAGGGGCAGCGGGGGCGUAGCAAUAUGCCUGCCGGCGACCGGCGCACGGGUGAGUAACACGUAUGUAACCUGCCCUAUGCAGGGGGAUAACCCGGAGAAAUCCGGCCUAAUACCGCGUAACACCUUAGGGGAGCAUUCUCUUGAGGUUAAAGGAGAGAUCCGGCAUAGGAUGGACAUGCGUCGCAUUAGGUAGACGGCGGGGUAACGGCCCACCGUGCCGACGAUGCGUAGGGGUUCUGAGAGGAAGGCCCCCCACACUGGUACUGAGACACGGACCAGACUCCUACGGGAGGCAGCAGUGAGGAAUAUUGGUCAAUGGCCGAGAGGCUGAACCAGCCAAGUCGCGUGAGGGAAGAAUGUCCUAAGGAUUGUAAACCUCUUUUGUCGGGGAGCAAAAAGGCUCUGCGGAGUCGUAUUGAGAGUACCCGAAGAAAAAGCAUCGGCUAACUCCGUGCCAGCAGCCGCGGUAAUACGGAGGAUGCGAGCGUUAUCCGGAUUUAUUGGGUUUAAAGGGUGCGCAGGCGGCGUGUCAAGCAAGCGGUAAAAUAGCGGGGCUCAACCCCGUCGAGCCGUUUGAACUGGCGCGCUUGAGUUCAGGCGAGGUAGGCGGAAUUUGUGGUGUAGCGGUGAAAUGCAUAGAUAUCACGAAGAACUCCGAUUGCGAAGGCAGCUUACCAGUCUGCGACUGACGCUCAGGCACGAAAGUGUGGGUAUCGAACAGGAUUAGAUACCCUGGUAGUCCACACAGUAAACGAUGAGCGCUAGGUGUCCGGGUCGCAUGAGACUUGGGUGCCCGAGCGAAAGCGUUAAGCGCUCCACCUGGGGAGUACGCCGGCAACGGUGAAACUCAAAGGAAUUGACGGGGGCCCGCACAAGCGGAGGAACAUGUGGUUUAAUUCGAUGAUACGCGAGGAACCUUACCCGGGCUCAAACGACUCAGGAAUAUAUUGGAAACGAUGUAGCCAGCAAUGGUCUGAGUCGAGGUGCUGCAUGGUUGUCGUCAGCUCGUGCCGUGAGGUGUCGGCUUAAGUGCCAUAACGAGCGCAACCCCUACCGCCAGUUGCCAACGGGUAAAGCCGGGAACUCUGGCGGGACUGCCGGCGCAAGCUGCGAGGAAGGCGGGGAUGACGUCAAAUCAGCACGGCCCUUACGUCCGGGGCGACACACGUGUUACAAUGGCAGGUACAGCGGGAAGCCACCUGGUGACAGGGAGCGGAACCCGAAAGCCUGUCUCAGUUCGGAUUGGAGUCUGCAACUCGACUCCAUGAAGCUGGAUUCGCUAGUAAUCGCGCAUCAGCCAUGGCGCGGUGAAUACGUUCCCGGGCCUUGCACACACCGCCCGUCAAG